UAUGGAUAUAUAUUUUCUAACCCAAUUUUCCUAAAUGCUUAAUAAGUCUUUAUCAAUUCUAUCGGAGCAUAUAAAUCAAUAACAUCUGAACAUGUAAUUCAGUAGUAUGUACACGUAGGCAAAAGUUAAAAUGAAUUCUCUUUUUACGAAUUAAAACAAAGUAUAUGUUGCCAGGUUAAAUCAAACUAGCAGGUACUUUGACAAGUAGUCCAGUCUUGAUCCUGUAGAAAACGAUUUUUGAACUCAAAAUGUCAAAGAUAAGAUCUUCCAGCGCCGUUAGCCAAAUCUCAUAUACACAGAAAAGAGAAGAGCAUGUGCUGAUUUGAGGGUGUGGCCUUUCUUCCUCGUGACCAUGAACAAUCUAUCUGAUAAGGACCUUUGGUUUGCAGCUCAGCAUGGACGGUGCAACCAGUUUUUUAGUUGGACCAAAAGUGAAGCUAAAGAAAGAGAAAAAAACCUUGGAAGAGUCAAAUUUGCAAUGACUUAAUAGAUCACCAUAAGCCGCUUCUGGCACUUGCGAUGUGUAUCCCUUGUGUUCAAGUUCGUUGCAUCUAAACAUUUUCAUCAAUUCAGUCACCGGCCUCUCACUGUCAACCCCACCUAUUUGUUUUUUGUUUUGUUUUGUUUUUUUUUUUAAUACCGCGAUGUUCAUCUUUUGGUGAGAGAUGCUAUACACUCAUUCACCAUUCCACCCAGGCCUGAGGCUCUGGCAAUUGGCAUUCAGCUCUCUGGGCCAUCCAGGAAUAGAAACAUUCCGUUAAAACGUUUUUUUUGUUUUGCAAGCAAAUGAUUGUGAAAACCUCACUUGGGCACUUCCAUCCAUAGCCAGCUUCAGUGUGAAAGUGGUUCAGGAUCAGCGUGAGAGCAUAGCCCCCAGUCAAAAGUAUGAUUGUCCGGCGGUGGCUUCCAUUGGCUUGUCUAUUUGUCAAACUUUUCACAAAGUUGAAACGCAUGCCCCGCGCGCAUCUACACAAGGUUUUAAGGUUGUUUAACUCCCGAAAUCCUGGCAGAAAAAGGGUUCACUUUUACAACAUCCUGGCCAAAGAGCACGGUUUCUUCGAUGAUUCCUUCAAAGUACUGAAACGACUAACAUGCGUGCUCCAAGCAGAAAGUCGAACAUCUGUUCUUGUCUUGUCCUGGAUGCGGUGCACUUGGACCAAUGGAAUCAAAUGGGUGCAAACGUAGGGAAGUUCCUUACCUUUCCCUUUGGACUAGAAAUAAACAGCGUAACCAAUAAGCAGAGCAAAUAAUAACACCAAUGGCAGAGUCAAAAAGAAAUGCCUCUCAAAGUCCUUUUCAUCUGGAGAUAGAAGCUAAAACAGUCCGGAGAGUGAAAACAAGCACCACUUUAAAUGCAAUUUCAGCUACAGUAAACCUGCAACCUGCCAUUUCAGAAUUUUAGAAGCUCCUACGGUCAGAUUAGAGCAUACGUUUUCUUUCCUGUGAACAAACUAAGAAAGCAACUAGGUAAGCCUCUACAAUUGGCGGCUUCAACAGUUGAAUCUAAUCAUGGAUCACGAGUAGAACCAACUCAUUUGAUUUAACAGCAUUUUCAGCUUCUUACUGAACAAAGAGAACGAAUUAGCAGCUACCAGCAUAUGAUUAAGUUUUCCUCAGCAUGAGGUCCUCUCAGCUGGUCUUCAUUUAGAAUAUUUAAACUGCUUUCACAUGAAUUUCUUCUAAUUAGCAUGAUUUAAAGUGGGUCACGAUAAUAAUGUACAAAUAUCUUGAAGCAAUCCCUAUACUAACUUUACCAGUUUUGCCUACAGUGGAAAGGCUACAAAGAGAGUGCUUAUCAGAAAGUAGUCCAAAAACAUCUAAAGUUAAUGGCUGAUUUCUUAUCAGCGCCGCAUAUCAAUAAUCUACUGCCAGGUGCUGUCACUAUCAAGUCAUUCUCCGCAUCAAACUCAGUAUAUAUCCACUAUGCUAGCAAUGUCCAAUCAUCAGACUGGCAGAAACAUGAUUCUCUAUAGAAGCAAAACCCAGAGAUAGGAAAAUAAAAAUAGAAAGAAACUAUAUAUGAUCGUCAAUGAAUGCCACUUGCUUGUUUGAGUCCAAUAGAAAGAGGCGCCGGUGCGGAGAAAAUUUCCAAACCAACAAAAACAAAAUCUACCUAAAAACCAAUGUUCAUCUCAAGACCAUUCUAUUUAGUUGACUUUCAGCAAAGAACGAUAUCCAUGUCUCACAGCAUGGCAAAUAAAAAAACGUCUCCGCUUUUGUUUUCAUCCAGGUAAUGUCAAAGUCAAAUAAAAAUAAUCAACGCUAAAUGCAAUGCACUAUUUUCAGUAAACCUUUCCAAACCUAGUUCUCCUCGAAGGAUUUUCAAAUUUGGCGGUGUUCAUUAUGAACAAGCAUCACUUAGAAGAUUUCAUCAAAU
Theobroma umbraticum is the source of this 2377-nucleotide non-coding RNA. The record is from RefSeq and is a predicted model, not a curated record. NCBI's taxonomy places the organism in Eukaryota, Viridiplantae, Streptophyta, Magnoliopsida, Malvales, Malvaceae.